This 510-nucleotide ribosomal RNA is filed under the name Triticum aestivum (bread wheat). RNAcentral's name for it is "partial small subunit ribosomal RNA". The record is from RNAcentral. Lineage: Eukaryota; Viridiplantae; Streptophyta; Magnoliopsida; Poales; Poaceae.
AUGAAUUGCUUAAGUUGGAACUGCCGGGGGGCAGGGAACCACCGGAUAGUUCGUGAGGUGUUGGCCCUUGCAAAAGCCAACUUCCCCAAGUUUGUCUUUCUUUCAGAGACAAUGCAAACUAAAGAAAAGAUGGAGAAGCUUAAAUGGAGACUGGGACUAAAGGGUUUCAGUGGUGUUAGUAGUAAUGGCAGAAGUGGACGUUUGGCUCUAUUUUGGGACGAAGCUUUAACAGUGACUAUUUUGGAUAGCUGUGCACGUUACAUUGACGUGCACGUCAUGGACAACGGUACUGAUGCUAGUUGGCGGGGUACCUUUAUUUAUGGUGAACCUCGGGUGGAAGAUCGUCAUUUGAUGUGGGAUCAUCUAGCUAGAUUACGUGUUGUUUCACAAGACUCGUGGUUUGUUUGCAGAGAUUUUAAUGAGGCUAUGUGGCAACAUGAACACCUAUCCCACUAUAUGAGAUCUGGAAAAUCUAAUGUUGGCGUUUUGGUAGUGCUUGGAGGUGUGUGA